Mandrillus leucophaeus (drill) is the source of this 493-nucleotide long non-coding RNA. RefSeq lists it as uncharacterized. The transcript is spliced from 3 exons. The record is from RefSeq and is a predicted model, not a curated record. Lineage: Eukaryota; Metazoa; Chordata; Mammalia; Primates; Cercopithecidae.
CAGGGCCGAGAGGGUCCAAAUCCCAGGUCUCAGACUGGAGUGCUCGGCGGAGCGGGACUGGGCGAGUAGCGAAGAGGAGUCAGAGGCUAGUCAAGUGAAGCAGUGGGAGUGGAUAUGAAAUAAAGAAAUCUGCAACUGGUUGUGAUCAAUUAGUUGUAAACACUACUGCACUUGGACCAACCUCUUCCUUUUCCUGACUGCAUAGGAAGGAUGGAAUGUAUUUCCUUCCUUCUUCUGGGAGUGUUUGAAGAUUAGACUCUCCUUGACCAUGAAUGAAGAGCAACCAGUUUUUUAGUGUACAGUGAUUUAGCUUCUGGGUCUAGAGUGUAGAUAUCUCGGGCACUGUGAAAGCACAGGAGAAAAAGUUUUUAUUUUGGUGGGGCUUUGUGACUGAGUUCUGGCCAAUGGAACCACUUGGAGGCCUGGCCCAGAACAUCUGCCUGUGGAUUCUCUCAUCUGGCAACUGGAUGCCAACACCAAGGGUGAUUUUGGA